Molecule: RNA transcript, 2320 nt
Organism: Columba livia (rock pigeon)
Lineage: Eukaryota; Metazoa; Chordata; Aves; Columbiformes; Columbidae
Exons: 3
Source: RefSeq, a predicted model, not a curated record
GGAUGUUUUGCAUUCAAGAUGAGCUUGUCAGUGAUUAAUCACCUCUGCAAGGGAUGCCUCUGUCAGCCUGGGGCAGUAAGGGUGCGUGAUAAAAGUCAGCCCAGCUCCUCACUCUCUCAUCCACUUCUCUUGCCUCCUUCUCCUUGGGAGUCAGGUGCAGCUCCAGACUCAAGACAUGUCCUGCAAUGACCAGUGCCAGUCCUGCCAGCCCUGUGGCCCCACCCCACUGGCCAACAGCUGCACUGAGCCCUGUGUCAGGCAGUGCCAGAGCUCCACCAUCGUCAUCCAGCCCGCCCCUGUGGUGGUGACCCUGCCUGGCCCCAUCCUCAGCUCCUUCCCUCAGAACACUGUUGUGGGCUCCUCCACCUCUGCUGCUGUUGGCAGAAUCCUCAGCUGUGAUGGAGUGCCCAUCAACUCUGGCUGCUGUGACCUGUCCUGCAUUUCCAGCUGCAGCAGAUGCCCCCCAUGCUAAAGAUGUUGGCAAUGGCCUUGGCUAUGGACCCCUAGGAACUCAGAUCAUGGUGCCGGACAGACAAUCAAACUUCAUGCUGUUGUUUCCAGACGUUGUUUUCAGGUCAUCUCUGGCUUGUCCUUCAAGGGCAGGCUGAAAGGUGCCUUUCUGAACACAUGGAAAAUGUGUACUUUUCCUCUCUUCCACUCACCCUUUUUUUCUCUUCUUUCUUUUGUGCUCCCCUCAAAUCCUGCUAUGAGGACCCCAGAAUCCAACCUGGGGUGAGCUGCUAAGCUGUCCCCUCUUUUGGAACAGCUGGACAGGAAAAGGGGAACAGAUUCUUGGCUGUUCCUGCUCCUUGCCAUACUGGGGCCUCCAGCUGGAGUGAACUUAUUUCCCUCUUUAGGCUCAUUAAAGAAUUCUGCAAGCCUGCCUGUGUCUCAUACGUUGUCUUUCCACCUACAUACUGCCUGCUGAGGGAGAAAGCCAUUGCUUUGUGGAAAUACCGUGUGCAGGUCUGGGAGCCACAAUCUGAAAAGGAUAUAAAGCUUCAGGAGAGUGUCCAGAGGAGGCCCUUGAAGUUGCUGAAGGGUUUUGAGUGGAAGCUGUAAGAGGAGUGGCUAAAGUCACUAUGUCUGUUGAGUCUGGAGAAGAAGACACUGAGGGUAGACCUCAUCAUGGUCUACGGCUUCCUCACAAGGGGAAGACAAGGGGCAGACACUGAUCUCUUCUCUCUGGUGGCCAAUGACAGAACCCAAGGGAAUGGCAAGAAGAUGUGCCAGAGGAGGUUUAGGUUGUGCAUUAGGAAAAGAUUCUUCAUGCAGGGAGUGGUGGAGCUCUAGAACAGGCUCCCCAGGGUGGUGUCACGGCCAAAAGCUCGACAGUGUUCAAGAAGCGACUGGACAACACCCUCACACUCAUGGUGAGAACUAUGGGGUUGUCAUAUGCAGGGAACAGGAGUUGGACUCGAUGACCCUUGAGGGUCCCUUCCAACACAGGACAUUCUACGAUUCUAUGGAUUUGGUGGAAGCAUACCUAAUUCGUCACUCCUAUAGCACUGGAAAGUGGGACACAUUACAGUGGCUUCUCUUCCUGGCACUGCCUCUUGAAAGUGAGGAAGACAACCCUGGUUACUGCACAGCCAAUGGCCACCAGUCCUUGCCUUGUUGCAAUUCUGCUAAGAAAUACCCCAUUGACACUGGAGAAUGUGAUGUGAACAGGAAUGCUGACAACUGCUGUCCUCCAGAGAGGAUUUGUGGGCAUUUGGGAGGCCCCAGGGAGGUCAGCAGUCCCAGAGACUCUUGGGGAAGAGCACUCCUCUUGCUUGGUGUGCAGCUGUGCUGGGCAAGGUGGCUCAGAAGAAGAAAUUGGCAAAGGAUGGCUGGAAUUGGUAAAGGAAGGUGCUUUUGGAGUGUUCUUCUCAGAGCAGCAGGUCUGUGAACUGGACCCUUCCCCUUAGCCUGGUACGUCGUCUAAGGAGGUUAUCGGGGAUUGAGAGCACCUCACCUCCUCGUUUGGGUGAGUGGAUAUUUACUGGAUAUAUCCUUGAAUGAGCGCUUACCUAACCCAGGCAAAUGUGAGUCCUUGACUAACCAGGGAAGUGUAAACCCUCGUCUAACCCAAGCGAGUGAUUAUUUCUUGUGGAUACCCUGGAGGCAGAGAACUCUUGUUUUGUUUCUUAUGAGUGUGUGUGCAUGUGCAUUGUGGAUCCUCAUUAUUCUUAUGUUGUUGUACCCCAAUAAUCUCCUCAACUGAUAUCCAAAACUGUAUUUUAUGUUGUCGGAGUACUAACUAAGUGUAUGAACCCUGUUCCUAGUCCAUUUAUUUGCUACACUUUUCCAGCUAGAAUAAAGUCUGUUUUGGAACUUA